GAAAGAACGCUGAAGGUUCAGUUUCUAAAAAUGUCAAGGAUCCUGAGCCUGUUUUCUGGGCUCCAGCCCCAUUGACUGUCAAAUCCUGGGCGGAUGUUGAUGAUGAAGAUGAUGAUGAUUAUUACGCUACUACAGCUCCGCCACAGGCUGUUUGGGGACCUGAUACUGCUAAUGAACAUCAUCACAAGCCUAAGGAAACUGUAACUCCACUCCAGGAAAGUGAAAGUGAAGAAGAAGGAAUUGAUGAAGCUGAUGAUGAUAAUGAAGAAGAACAUGAGCAGGAACCUGAUUUACCAGAGGAAAAGGAGCCAAUUGUUAAGAAGACUGCUGAAAAUGUGGCACCCAAAGAGUCGGAAAGGCAGCUUUCAAAGAAGGAACUUAAGAAAAAGGAGCUUGCUGAGCUUGAAGCUAUGCUUGCUGAAUUUGGAUUAAGCAAAGCUGAGAGCAAUGAUGAUUCACAAGGUGCUGCACAGGAUAAGGUGGAAAAACUCAAUGGAGAGAUGGCUAAGAAGGAUGAUAAUGCUCCUGGGGAGAGCAAGAGCGCAAAGAAAAAGAAGAAGAAAGAUAAAUCAUCAAAGGAGUCCAAAGAGCAACAUGAUCAAUCCAAUGGCGUUGAGCUUGGAAAUGGGACUAGUGAAACAGUUUCAAGCGAGAAAGGAGAAGAUGCACCUACUGUUGCUGCAAAGGACAAGAUAAAGAAAAUGACAUCUCUUAAGAAGAAAAAAUCAAUCAAGGAGGUAGAUGCUGCUGCCAAAGCUGUGGCCAGUGAGGCUGCAGCAAGGAGUGCAAGGCUAGCUGCUGCAAAGAAAAAGGAGAAGAACCAUUACAACCAGCAACCCCUGCGGUGAAAUGUUUCUUGAAUUGGAAGUGAGCAUGUAUCUUGUUCAUUUGUUAAAUGCACAAUAAACAUCAGAAUCUGGUUCAAUAGAGAUGGACUCUGUCAUACUAUUUUUAUUUUA
This 959-nucleotide unclassified non-coding RNA is filed under the name Hevea brasiliensis (rubber tree). Lineage: Eukaryota; Viridiplantae; Streptophyta; Magnoliopsida; Malpighiales; Euphorbiaceae. The record is from RNAcentral.